GGCCAGACUCCUACGGGAGGCAGCAGUGGGGAAUAUUGGGCAAUGGGCGCAAGCCUGACCCAGCAACGCCGCGUGAAGGAAGAAGGCUUUCGGGUUGUAAACUUCUUUUGUCAGGGACGAAGCAAGUGACGGUACCUGACGAAUAAGCCACGGCUAACUACGUGCCAGCAGCCGCGGUAAUACGUAGGUGGCAAGCGUUAUCCGGAUUUAUUGGGUGUAAAGGGAGCGUAGGCGGCCUGGCAAGCCUGAUGUGAAAUACCGGGGCCCAACCCCGGGGCUGCAUUGGGAACUGCCAGGCUGGAGUGCCGGAGAGACAGGCGGAAUUCCUAGUGUAGCGGUGAAAUGCGUAGAUAUUAGGAGGAACACCAGUGGCGAAGGCGGCCUGCUGGACGGUGACUGACGCUGAGGCUCGAAAGCGUGGGGAGCAAACAGGAUUAGAUACCCCGGUA
RNAcentral lists this ribosomal RNA (449 nucleotides) under uncultured bacterium. RNAcentral's name for it is "bacterial SSU rRNA". It matches the Rfam family "Bacterial small subunit ribosomal RNA", at positions 329 to 792 of the family's 1533-position model. The record is from RNAcentral.